This 301-nucleotide ribosomal RNA is filed under the name uncultured bacterium. Its description in RNAcentral is "partial 16S ribosomal RNA". It matches the Rfam family "Bacterial small subunit ribosomal RNA", at positions 509 to 809 of the family's 1533-position model. The record is from RNAcentral.
CAGCCGCCGCGGUAAUACGGAGGGUGCAAGCGUUAAUCGGAAUUACUGGGCGUAAAGCGUGCGUAGGCGGCUUCUUAAGUCGGAUGUGAAAUCCCUGAGCUUAACUUAGGAAUUGCAUUCGAUACUGGGAAGCUAGAGUAUGGGAGAGGAUGGUAGAAUUCCAGGUGUAGCGGUGAAAUGCGUAGAGAUCUGGAGGAAUACCGAUGGCGAAGGCAGCCAUCUGGCCUAAUACUGACGCUGAGGUACGAAAGCAUGGGGAGCAAACAGGAUUAGAUACCCGGGUAGUCCCUGUCUCUUAUAA